CAGUUUGCUGUGGGUGAAAGUCCACUGUAGAUUACAAACACACCGCAUUGGGAUUUUUUUUUUACACCGAACACCGUAUCUUCAAGGAAUCCCCCCAUAAUUUCAGAUGGAACCUGCAGCAAGGAGAUGAGCCAGCUGGUUCAGGCUUCAGCACAGAGCGAGAGAGACUUCCAGUGUCUGUUGGCGUGUAUGUGCUAGAGAGUAUAUAUGUAUGUGUGUGUGUGUCUGCCGAGAGGAGAGAAGACUGCCUUCCAGCAGUGUGUGUGGGGGCAAUUGUGUUUCUUUGCUUGAGCUGGUGUGAGUGUGUGAGUUCUUUACUCCGAAUAGUAGAAGAAUGGCAGCUCGCUAGUGUGUGUUUAUGUGAAUGCAUGUGCAUGAGUGUGUGUUUUCCUGAGUGAGAGUGUGUUGUUUCCACCUCUCUGAGGAGUACUAGGAGGGCAGCUCUCUCCCCCUGGCUGGGUGUGUGUGUGGAGAUGGCAGUGUGUGUAUGUACUACCCUGCCCGCACUGCUCCUGCUCCUGAGCUGCGGUGUGUGUGUGACGGUGGGAUACCCAUUCAGACCCCCCAUAGACCUGGAUGUCACCCCCAGAAUCACCAUAACUACCAGCGAGCUUCUGGACAUGAAAACAGACAUCACUAACCUUGAUUAAGACAGGGACACUUCUACUUCAGUGAGUCGGAGGCUAAAUACAUAUAGAUUUUUCCGGACAAAGCCCAAAUCCCCGACACUCGAAGAAGGAGAUGGCGCUAUAGAGUCCGGUGCGCAGGCACCCUGAUGAGAUAUGGUGGUGAGGGAAUAAAUCGCCUCUAUUCUCUGUUAUAUUGGCGAAUGUGCAAUCACUUGAGAAUAAACUAGACAAACUCCAUUUGAGACUAUCCUAUCAAUGGGACAUUAAGAAUUGUAAUAUACUAUGCUUCUCAGAGUCAUGACUGAACAAGGACAUGGAUAAUAUACAUGUUGACAGAAUGAGAGUCUGGUA
Molecule: long non-coding RNA, 980 nt
Organism: Oncorhynchus tshawytscha (Chinook salmon)
Lineage: Eukaryota; Metazoa; Chordata; Actinopteri; Salmoniformes; Salmonidae
Source: Ensembl